RNAcentral lists this RNase P RNA (371 nucleotides) under Bacteroides sp. Its description in RNAcentral is "RNase P RNA component class A". It matches the Rfam family "Bacterial RNase P class A". From Rfam's summary of the family: Ribonuclease P (RNase P) is a ubiquitous endoribonuclease, found in archaea, bacteria and eukarya as well as chloroplasts and mitochondria. Its best characterised activity is the generation of mature 5'-ends of tRNAs by cleaving the 5'-leader elements of precursor-tRNAs. Cellular RNase Ps are ribonucleoproteins. Lineage: Bacteria; Pseudomonadati; Bacteroidota; Bacteroidia; Bacteroidales; Bacteroidaceae. RNAcentral also lists the same sequence under 1 other name. The record is from RNAcentral.
CCGGAAGUGCGUUUCGUCGCCUGCCGAAGUAUGAGCGGCAGGAGGAAAGUCCGGGCAACAAAGAGCACCAUAUUCUCUAACGGGGAGCUAUCGGUAACGGUAGAGUAUCGUGACAGAAAACAACCGCCACGCUGUCAGCCGACAACAUGGUAAGGGUGAAAAGGCGGGGUAAGAGCCCACCGUGCAUCAUGGCAACAUGGUGUGACGCACGACUUAUGGGUUGCAAUGCCAAGUAUACCGGCAGCAUGUAGGGCGGCUCGUCCGAUGCCGGGGGGUAGGCAGCGCAGAUAAAUGACGGAACGCUCCCGUUAUCCCGGCUCCGGCCGGAAGUGGCGGGGCGACAUAACCCGGCUUACAGCAUCUGCGGGCGC